This 271-nucleotide ribosomal RNA is filed under the name uncultured bacterium. Its description in RNAcentral is "partial 16S ribosomal RNA". It matches the Rfam family "Bacterial small subunit ribosomal RNA", at positions 524 to 794 of the family's 1533-position model. The record is from RNAcentral.
UACGGACCGGACGAACGUUAUUCGGAAUCACUGGGCUUAAAGCGUGCGUAGGCGGCCUGGAAAGUUGGGUGUGAAAUCCCUCGGCUCAACCGAGGAAUGGCGCUCAAAACUCCCAGGCUUGAGUGAGAUAGGGGUGAGCGGAACUGAUGGUGGAGCGGUGAAAUGCGUUGAUAUCAUCAGGAACACCGGUGGCGAAGGCGGCUCACUGGGUCUUGUCUGACGCUGAGGCACGAAAGCUAGGGUAGCGAACGGGAUUAGAAACCCCUGUAGU